UGCGGUGGCUCUUGUCGAUGCUGAGGACGAAGAGGUUGAUGUAGGCGUCCAGCGAGAACUGGUACAUGGGGUCGAUGCGGCCCAUGUCGUUGAGCACGAAGAACAGAACCGACGCCCUCUGGGCACACGGGCGCUGCUCGGUCACCUCGGUGGCGGUCAUCUUGGAGGUACGAAGGGUGUUCACCAGCUGCACGUCGUCGAGCAGGGAGCCCGUGGCCUCAUUCAGCAGCCUGAAGGGAAGCGCAGCUCCGGCCGCUCCUUCCGGACCACGAUGCCCAGCAGCUGAGCCUCCAGGCCCUGGGAUCACGGGGACGCGCGGUGGGACUCGCGCUCUGGUGACGGCACACCCCUGACACCCGGUCACGCCUCCCCCCACCUCAUCCCCUGCCGCCCAGCGCAGGGGGCCUUUGUCUCCACCCCGCCGACUCGACUCUCCGGGUGCUUCCUGCUCCUCGCUAGCUGGGUCCAGGCUGCAGCCCCCGCCCCCACCUGUUCCUUGACAGCAAAGUUGACGAUGGUGGUCUUGGCCGAGGUCUCAGGGCUGUAGUGGGGGUUGGAGAGCUUGGUGGUGAUGUAGAAACGGAAAUUGGUGUUGUACUCCACCUCCUUGUCUGCAAUGCGCAUCAGCAGCCGGCCGCCUGCAGCCGGGCCAGGGUCAAGGGCAAAGGCAAAGGAGCCCUGGUGACCAGGUGUGGGCUGGCCCAGCCCCCAGCCCGCAUCCAGCUGCUCUAAUGGGCCCAGUCCGGGGCUGUGGGAGCGGAGGGCCACAGUCUGAGGGCCGGCCCUCCCCCCCAACCCCUCACCUCGUGGCCCAGCUGGCUGGUCUCUAGGAUUUGUCCCCCAGCCCAACCCCACAGGAAGCCUGGACCCUCACCGAUUCGAGCUACAGAUUUGUUGAGCACAGGGUUAAGCGUGGGGUCCAGAUACUCCUGAACGUUCUGGAGCAGCACUGGAUAUCCAAACUGGAUGGCCUUUUCUAGAAUUUGAAGGGCCUGGGCCUGAGGGUCAAUCAUCAGUGCCCACCUGAAGGAGGGUGGUCAGUCAGAAGACAGGCUCCGCCCUUGCCCCGCCCCCGCUCCCGGCAGCCUCCUUACCUGUUGCCUCGGGUGACGAUGAUGCCAUUCUCUGUGGAAAAGGCAUCCGAGGGCAACCCUUGGAUGUUCCAGUCUCGAACUUUGGUAGGAUUGGACAGGAAGUUAUCGAAGGUGAAGCGCGGUGAGCACGGCACCUCCAGCUCCCAGAUCUGGGCGGGGAAGAGCCCCGGACGUCAGCCUGGAGGCCCGAGCCCCGAGCCCCGCUCCCCGCCCCGGGGCCCCUGCCCCCGGCCCCGGCCCCGGCCCCUGCCGGGUGUCUCCCCGUCCUCCCCGCAGCCCUGGUCUCGGAGCCCAAGAGCUCACGAGGACCUGAGCCCUGCCUCACCUUCCUGAUCCAUAUCUGGGUGACGAUCUCAUCCCGGUAGUUGGUCAGGAAGGGGCCCAUGUAGGACAGGAAGGCGGCGGCCAGGAGACAGUCACCUACCAGGUAGCCCAGAUCCUCCUCCAGGCCCUGGGUGGGGGGGCGGGGGGCGGGCAGGGGGUGUAAGGAGGGCCCCGGGCACUGGGGAGCGCUGGCUCUCUCCGCACCGCCCCCCCCCCCCCCCCCCCCCCCCCCCCCCGGACACUGGCUCCAUCAAAGAGGCGCUUUGUCCUAAACCUUCGGCCCUGAGGAGUCCAACCUGGUUCUAAUCCCUUCGGAGUUGCCGUCUUUCAAGUGAUCCUGUUUACAUUCUGCGCGCCUUCUCGCUGGCCAGCCCUGACACCAGCAAGCCCGCUCGCUCCAGCUUCAUUUCCAUGUCCUCGGACUUCUUGCGGAGCUCCUCCUUCUGGGCCAGCUUCUCGUCAUACUGCUUCUUCAGCAUCUCUAGCUUCUCGGCCACCUGGGAGGGACCAGAGCGAACGGCUCAAAACGCCACGCUUGUGGCUGCGCUGCUCGGGGUUCCGGUGGCCCAUCCGCCGUUUCUAGGCCUUGGGGCCUCCGUGGCCCGGUGCGCCACGUGACGAUGCUAACCCCGACCCCGUAGGGCUGUCGCAGACAGAAAAUGAGACAAAAUACGCGAGGUCUUCUUUCCCUUUCCCUCCGCCACUCUUUUCUUGGGCCAGGAAACUUCUUGUCAUGAAACUCAAGGCCGGGUAGGAAGACAGUCCCCCUUGGAGCAUAAUUAAGCCACAUGGGUCCCCACUGGCAAGAGAGGAUCAGAGGGCACAGAAACGACUGCCACCCCCACGCCAGCGUGGCAUGGCCCGAAGGCAGGACCUCGAGAGAGAAAGAAAAAUCUAGAAACUGUUGGAGAGAGGAAGAGGGACUCCAUUCGGGGCAAAGGCCCAGGUGCAGGGACCCACACAGGGAUGGGGAUCCAACUGUGCAGAGUUCACGUGCUGGCCUGGUGCCCCUGACCGGGCCUCAUCUGGGCUGUGGGAAAGAGGGCACAGGGCGCAGGACAUGGCCCAACCACUGAGGUUGACCUCCAAAAGACCCUGGAAACGCAACAGAUUAACUCCCCAAGAGACUGUCUUUAAAGCAAAAGCACCCAGGGCUGCUGCGUGGCUCAGUCGCUUAAGCAUCCGGGUUCAGCUCAGGUCAUGAUCUCACGGUUCAGGGGUUCGAGUCCCAUGUCAGGCUCUGUGCUGAUGGCUCAGAGCCUGGAACCUGCUUCGGAUUCUGUGUCUCCCUUGCUCUCUGGCCCUCCCCUGCUCAUGCUUUCUUAACAAUAAAUAAAUGUUAAAAAAAAAAAAAAAAAAGGCAAAGUGGAGGUCCCAAAUGUCACCUUCGGGUGACAGCACGCCUUCCAGGUCAAGCCUGGGUAGUGAUGUUAGAAGGUAUUAACAUCCAGGGAAAGAAGGGGUCACUCCGAAGGGGUGAGUCAGCCGGGCCACUCAGGGACGAAACACCGGCCGGGGGUCUAGAAAGAGAGGGGCGCCCUUGCACUGCCACAGGUGGGCUUAAACCCGCUGGAGGCCAUGCUGUCCGGCGGUCUUCCCUGCGUGCCACCUGUCGCCAGGUUCACGUGACUGCCUCCCCCCUGCCCGCGCAGUCCAGGCUCGUCAGCAACACUGAUUAUAAUUGGGCUUCCCGCGGAGCUGUGUCUGUGGGGAAGCAGCCAGCCCACGAUCGUUCUGGAUUUCAUUACUUAUUUUGCAUGUGGUGUUGUCUUCACUGUUUCUAUUUUUUAUACAAGAAAUGUAUGCAUAAGGUUAAAGACCUAAAUAAUACGAUAAAAAGGAGUUAUA
This is a long non-coding RNA of Prionailurus viverrinus (fishing cat), 3266 nucleotides long. RefSeq lists it as uncharacterized. The record is from RefSeq and is a predicted model, not a curated record. The transcript is spliced from 5 exons. NCBI's taxonomy places the organism in Eukaryota, Metazoa, Chordata, Mammalia, Carnivora, Felidae.